This is a long non-coding RNA of Homo sapiens (human), 3627 nucleotides long. RefSeq lists it as uncharacterized. Lineage: Eukaryota; Metazoa; Chordata; Mammalia; Primates; Hominidae. The record is from RefSeq and is a predicted model, not a curated record. The transcript has 3 exons.
GAAGCUCCAUGAGACCUUUCCUCGUCUGUGCACAGACUGGCAGCCGACUCUGGAACCCAGAUUGUUGCUUCCCGGUCUAGUGAUCCUUCCUCCAUAGUCUGAUACUCCCACACGGGAGGUACUGGAACAACUAGGUCAGCUACAGGACUUGGGGGAUCGGAUGCCCUGUGGGGAGGAGAGGAUUAAGGAGUGGGGCAGACAAACCCGGGACCAAUCUCAGACUAAUCAGAAGGCUGACCAACAAGCUAAAAUUUCCACUAUUACUGCAGACUCAGGCCCAGAAGAACCGGAUUGGGCUGCGCUCAUGCAAUGGGUGCAUCUCCAGUGAGGACAUCUAGGCAUCCAGGGAACCAUGGCUUGGGGACAGCAAAGAGGGAUAUCAUUACCGAAGGAUGUGGUUCACACAACUUUAUCCCAACGCACUACACGCCAACAGUUAAAAACUAAGCCAGUUCCUCAGAGGGUUUUGGGGCACAUUCAUAGGGGAAAAAUGCCAGGACAAAUUUGGCAAAUGGACUAUACUUGUCCUUUGCCACUUCUAAAGGGUGCCAAUACAUAUGUACUUCUGUAGACACCUGCUCAGGGUUCCUAGUAGCCUGCGCUUAUGCUAAUGCUAACCAAACUAACACUAUUAAAACCUUAAACAUCCUAAUUCUAUAUUAUGGUGUGCCCAUACAAAUUCAAAUGGACAGUGGCUCCCAUUUCAAAGGUAAGGCUGUACAAACCUUUGCAGCCCAACAUGGCAUAGAAUGGAUUUUCCACAUCCCAUGCCACCCACAGGCAGCUGGCCUAAUCGAAAGAAUGAACGGGUUAUUGAAAAAACAGCUAAAGGUGUUAGGGCAAGGUAAGUUAAAAAAAUGGAACGAUCACCUGUUUGAGAUAGUACAAAUUUUAAAUAAUCGGCCAUUAACAACAUCUGAAACCCCACUGAGCCAAAUGCUUAUCCUACACUUACAAAUUGCUAAGUGUGCAGGUGUAGUCCACCCUCUCUUGCUGAAAUGCUGGAAAAUCCACCCACUCCCAUGGAGGAGUACAAGAGGAGCUGCCAGUUUGGACUUAUAUAGUUUAAAGCCUGGGAUAAUUCCCGCCCAAAGUACAUACACGGUAGCCACCGGCUUAGGAGUUAUUAUAGGUAUUAUACCUUGCAAACAUUAUGGGUGGAUUACAUUCCAAUCAGGUCUUGCAAUGCGGGGUAUUACAGUACACGGGGGUAUAACUGACAGUGAUUACCGGGGAGAGUUAAAGGUCAUUUUAUACAAUACCACUCCAGAUUCUUUUGCUAUAAAACUGCAGAUACCAGUUGCUCAAUUGUUAGUGGUACCUUGUCAGCAAUUAACCCUGUAGGAAAUCUCUGCCCCAACAGAGGCUACAUACAGAACCAGGUUAUUCAGAUCCACUGGUACUAGUGGCUUAAAUCCUGGAGCCAAAAUAUAGGUACAGCGUCCAUCAGAUCCCACCCCUCAGGCUGGUGACCUUGUAGCUAUGGGAGCAGAAAAUGAAGGCAUAGUACAAUUUCCUAAAUAUGAAAAAACAAUAUCAUGUUCCCCUCCACUUUUGCUAUUACAGGGAAUGACCUAUCUACUGAUGUGUCUUGUGUCUUUGUGUCUGAGGCCUAGAAUGAAUUUAUUACCUGGUAGCCACUGCUGCAAAAGAGCUCAACCGCAGUCAGUGCUGGUAUGUGUCGAGUUGCCAGAGGCUGCAGGGAAUGGAUUACCUUAGAAUAUUAUCUCUGCUAAUAUUUCCAAGUGGCUAUGUCGCUACCAAUGGGGUUGGGAGAAUAGCACCUGUAGUACAACCUGAACUUCUUUUAACCAAACUAAACAGUCUAUUCUUGCCCAAAUUCAACAAAAGGCGAAAUCCACCCUUGCAAUGAGUCAAAAGCUUUUGUAUCCUACCUGAUAUGCCUGGAACAGCGUAUACGGGGAACCUGUCAUACUGGUAGCUGGACUCCUUAUGGCCCCCCCUUUGUUUGGGGGCCUUAAAUGGCUUCCCCAAUGACACUCUGGGGUUUCUCCCACCAGACAGUUGUCAGCACAUAUUCCAAAUCAAUAACAGUGCCCCCAGUGAAACACAGCACCUUUGUUACUUAAAUUACACAUUACAGCAAUACGAUUGUAGUAGAACUCUUCCCCUUCCCUGGGGGGCCCUCUGGGUAUGCGGAUCCUAUGGGUGGUGAUACUUGCCCCCGAACUGAACAGGGAGAUGCACUUGGGGGUGGCCAUUAAUUCCAUUCACUAUCUGGGAUAAUAUUUCCCUCCCCAGUAAUCUAGUUACUUACAAAUAUUGCUGGUUACAAAUGCGCCGGACUCCCUGGUGGUGGUACCAUAUCACUGCUGGUACAAUCCUGCUUCAACAACAAAUUAAAAUACUAAGCUUGCAUGUAGAAAAAGCUCUUAAUGCUAGUAGCACUGGACUUACAUUGUUAUCAGAUGAAUUUGCUCAGGGGCGUACUGUUGUGUUGCAAAAUCAAAUGGCAUUACACAUCCUUACAGCAGCCCAAGGAAGGGUUUGCGCCUUACUGCAUGCUGAAUGUUGUGUGUAUAUCCCUGACAAUUCUCACAAUAUUACUCUCCUUGCCCAAGACAUGCAAAAACAAAGCAGUUAGAAUAUAACCAUGGGCACCCCAUCGUGAAUUGGCUGUCCGACUGGCAUUGGCGUUGGCCGUGGUGGGUGUGGUUUUUAUUAAUUGUGCUUUUAAUUCUCCUGUGUUUACCCUGUAUCUGUAAUCUAUAUCAACUAUGCCUUCCCCAUGUAUCUUUACACGUUUUAUCCACAACUGAGUAUCAAAUUGAGGCCGAAUGUGGAGGAAAAGUUAAAUAUUUAAUUUGAACUCAAUUGAACAUGGACAUAAACAAUGGUCACCAACUCCCGGAACAGGUUGCAUGAGCCCCUUGAGGCAUUCAUCCAGCAAAGUUUUAGAGAAAUCUGCUCCUGUACGUCAGUUACUGAGAAACAACAGACAAUCACAAAAACAAGUAGACCUUUUUGUGUCCCUUGAGCCCAGUCUCGAAGGGCCCUCGUGACUGGGCCUCAUGCCAAACAAUUCAUUACAAAAGAGCUAGGGUCCCAGACCGCACUGAAGCUCCAUGAGACCUCUCCUCGUCUGUGCACGGACCGGCGGCCCACUCUGGAGCCCAGGCUGUUGCUUCCCAGUCUGGUGAUGCUUCCUCCAUAAUCUGGUGGUGUAAAUAUAUAUGGACAUAUCUUUUCCCUUCACUCCUUUCCACUGCAAUUUGCUUGUUAUAUCAUUUGCUUAUUAUAUCUAUAUUGCCAUAUACGUGGGAUAAAGGUUGUUCACCCUUAAAAGGUCUUGUGUGUGUGCCAGGCGCGGUGGCUCAUGCCUGUAAUUCCAGCAUUCUGGGAGGCCGAGGCGGGUGGAUCUCCUGAGGUCGGGAGUUCGAGACCAGCCUGACCAACAUGGUGAAACCCUGUCUCUACUAAAAUACAAAAAAUUAGCCGGACAUGGUGGCAUGCGCCUAUAGUCCCAGCUACUUGGGAGGCUGAGGCAGGAGAAUCACUUGAACCCGGGAGGCGGAGGUUGCACUAAGCUGACAUCGCACCACUGAGCUCCAGCCUGGUGACAGAGUAAGACUCCGUCUAAAAAAUAGAAAUAAAAAUAAAAAAGUC